RNAcentral lists this ribosomal RNA (253 nucleotides) under uncultured bacterium. Its description in RNAcentral is "partial 16S ribosomal RNA". It matches the Rfam family "Bacterial small subunit ribosomal RNA", at positions 524 to 776 of the family's 1533-position model. The record is from RNAcentral.
UACGGAGGGUGCGAGCGUUGUCCGGAAUCACUGGGCGUAAAGGGCGCGUAGGCGGCAUGCCAAGCGUGUGGUGAAAGCCCGGGGCUCAACCCCGGGUCGGCCGUGCGGACUGGCGUGCUCGAGCACUGUAGGGGCGGGUGGAAUUCCGGGUGUAGCGGUGGAAUGCGUAGAGAUCCGGAGGAACACCAGUGGCGAAGGCGACGUCCUGGGCUUGACCUGACGCUGAGACGCGACAGCACGGGGAGCGAACGGG